UCUCUCUAGGUGUAUAUAGUAAUUGCUAUAGCAUAUGCUUAUGUGGAUGUCUCUAACUCUGUAGUAUCUAGGUGUAUCCAAAAACGAACGCUUUCCAUCGCGUAGCACAAUCAUCUUAUCCAUCUGCCUCGGUAUUCUCAUUAUCAUUC
Molecule: small RNA, 149 nt
Filed under: Drosophila erecta
Lineage: Eukaryota; Metazoa; Arthropoda; Insecta; Diptera; Drosophilidae
Description: GG27116
Source: RNAcentral